RNAcentral lists this ribosomal RNA (451 nucleotides) under uncultured euryarchaeote. Its description in RNAcentral is "bacterial SSU rRNA". It matches the Rfam family "Archaeal small subunit ribosomal RNA", at positions 19 to 437 of the family's 1478-position model. Lineage: Archaea; Methanobacteriati; Methanobacteriota. The record is from RNAcentral.
AGAGGCCGCUGCUAUCCGGCUGGGACUAAGCCAUGCGAGUUAAGGGACCUGUUCCUCCCCUGGGGGAACAGGUACCGGCGGACGGCUCAGUAACACGUGGACAACCUGCCCUCGGGAGGGGGAUAACCCCGGGAAACUGGGGCUAAACCCCCAUAGGCCAUGGCUACUGGAAUGUGCCAUGGCCGAAAGUUUGCCGUUCCCGCAAGGGGCGGCAAAGCCCGAGGAUGGGUCUGCGGCGGAUUAGGUAGUUGGUGGGGUAACGGCCCACCAAGCCGAAGAUCCGUACGGGCCAUGGGAGUGGGAGCCCGGAGAUGGACCCUGAGACAAGGGUCCAGGCCCUACGGGGCGCAGCAGGCGCGAAACCUCCGCAAUGCGGGAAACCGCGACGGGGCUAGCCGGAGUGCCCGCGCAAUGCGCGGGCUGUCCGGGUGUGUAAAAAGCACCCGAUAGC